CGUUCUGUAAGCCUGCGAAGGUGUGCUGUGAGGCAUGCUGGAGGUAUCAGAAGUGCGAAUGCUGACAUAAGUAACGAUAAAGCGGGUGAAAAGCCCGCUCGCCGGAAGACCAAGGGUUCCUGUCCAACGUUAAUCGGGGCAGGGUGAGUCGACCCCUAAGGCGAGGCCGAAAGGCGUAGUCGAUGGGAAACAGGUUAAUAUUCCUGUACUUGGUGUUACUGCGAAGGGGGGACGGAGAAGGCUAUGUUGGCCGGGCGACGGUUGUCCCGGUUUAAGCGUGUAGGCUGGUUUUCCAGGCAAAUCCGGAAAAUCAAGGCUGAGGCGUGAUGACGAGGCACUACGGUGCUGAAGCAACAAAUGCCCUGCUUCCAGGAAAAGCCUCUAAGCAUCAGGUAACAUCAAAUCGUACCCCAAACCGACACAGGUGGUCAGGUAGAGAAUACCAAGGCGCUUGAGAGAACUCGGGUGAAGGAACUAGGCAAAAUGGUGCCGUAACUUCGGGAGAAGG
Molecule: ribosomal RNA, 508 nt
Filed under: Escherichia coli
Lineage: Bacteria; Pseudomonadati; Pseudomonadota; Gammaproteobacteria; Enterobacterales; Enterobacteriaceae
Also listed under: 1 other name
Description: bacterial LSU rRNA
Rfam family: Bacterial large subunit ribosomal RNA
Source: RNAcentral